This 87-nucleotide transfer RNA is filed under the name Chloroflexota bacterium. RNAcentral's name for it is "Chloroflexi bacterium tRNA-Leu". It matches the Rfam family "tRNA". From Rfam's summary of the family: Transfer RNA (tRNA) molecules are approximately 80 nucleotides in length. Their secondary structure includes four short double-helical elements and three loops (D, anti-codon, and T loops). Lineage: Bacteria; Bacillati; Chloroflexota. The record is from RNAcentral.
GCCGAAGUGGCGGAAUAGGCAGACGCGCUACGUUCAGGGCGUAGUGACCGCAAGGUCGUGUGGGUUCGACUCCCACCUUCGGCACCA